UGGUAUCAGAGCCCAUGGUCGCGAUUUUGUGGCCUUGUGGCUUCUGUGAUUAGCUUAGCUUCCGCGUUUUGAUUCCAGUUUUUCAGUUUUCAGUUUCCCCAACUUCAAUUACCCUAGCUUUGCGUUUUUCCCAAACCCGUUCAUCAACGAUCCCAAACUCAAAAUCUUCGUCUUUGGCGCUAUAAUCUUCUCUUCCGGCGUGAGAUUGUCGAUACCCAGCCUUCUCUAAGACCUCUGGGCUUCGAUGUUCGUUCUCCGCGUCGUCACCUGCGCGGCUCGCCUCGUAUGGCUCUGUUCUUUGUUUGCGGGUUUUCUCCUUCAGAUCCUCGAGUAUGACGUCAGGGGAGGACUGUAUCAGUGUGAUGCAGCGAAUCUGUUCUCUGAGACUUGGUAAUCUUCGAGCCCUUUAUUUUGUCACUAUGUCUUUGCGCUGCAAUUCUUGUUGCUGAGAGUAUCUAGUAGACUAGUUGUUCAAUCUAUUUGCUCUGAAGGUGAAUGGGAGACGAAGAUGUGUAUAUUUUGAUAAAUCUGGUUGGGAAGAUGAGUAUUUUUAAGGUUGAAUAUUCCUGGGCUUAUUGUUCUGAUGGUGAUUAGAGAUGGUUAGGUCUUAUGACUGGAUUUUGUGUGCUUCUUUCUCUGCUGUGCGCUUCUAUGUGCUAAGUGGUUGGUGACAUUAAGUUGAUAGCUGCUGUUGUUUAGUGUUCUACCACAAUAUGUUUGAGAUACUGACCCUGCAACAAAACGUAUGUUUGGAAGUAGUAGUAAUGUAUGUGGAAUUGUAGUAUGGAGGUAGUAGCCUCUGUAUGAUCGUAGAGUUGUGGUAAUCACAACUAGCGGUAGUAGCCUCUGUAUGAUCGUAGAGUUGUGGUAAUCACAACUAGAGGUAGUAGCCUCUGUAGAACAAAGUGGUGCAGAAAAUAUUGUAGUGAGUCAAGGUUUCAAUUGAGAUGUGGAGGGAAACAUUAUUUUUUGCAGCAGCUUAUAUGUUUGGGGUAUGAACGCAUGGGAUUUGAUUACAGCAAGUUAAUAUUGGUAGAGAUAUGCAGUAUGUAGCAGUGUUCAGUCCUUGCAGUUAGUUUUUUCAGAUUCUUCAUUGGAUUGUUUGUUGCCUUGCUUCCAUGGAUUUUGUCUUCUCAGCUCUGUGUUGCCUCAAUGCUCUGCUGCAACCUACAAUCUUGUCAACUGACUGUGGAUGAUGUUCUCAUACUGCUAAGUGGCUGUUGGGUUUUGAUUUUUGGGAUGAUAAUCUUGUAAAUUGUUCUACAUCAUGUAUUGUGCUUCUUGGUCCAACCAAGCAUAUGGUUGCGGGGGGAUAGUUGAGUCAUUUACUAUUAUCCCUACCUAUAUAAAGCUAUGAGUUGUGUACACUGUUCAUCAAUUGAGAAAUACAAGAUGUAGAC
Molecule: long non-coding RNA, 1400 nt
Filed under: Fragaria vesca (wild strawberry)
Lineage: Eukaryota; Viridiplantae; Streptophyta; Magnoliopsida; Rosales; Rosaceae
Description: long non-coding RNA (FVES_LNC000477)
Source: RNAcentral